This is a non-coding RNA of Podarcis lilfordi (Lilford's wall lizard), 69 nucleotides long. NCBI's taxonomy places the organism in Eukaryota, Metazoa, Chordata, Lepidosauria, Squamata, Lacertidae. The record is from the annotation of a GenBank genome assembly.
GGCCUUAGCUUAGUGUACAGCAUUUGCUCUGCAUGUAGAAGGACCCAGGUUCAAGCCCUGGCAUCUCCA